Pollicipes pollicipes is the source of this 339-nucleotide long non-coding RNA. RefSeq lists it as uncharacterized. Lineage: Eukaryota; Metazoa; Arthropoda; Thecostraca; Pollicipedomorpha; Pollicipedidae. The transcript has 3 exons. The record is from RefSeq and is a predicted model, not a curated record.
GACGGCUCGGGCAGCGAGUCCAUCGACCUAGACCACCUGGAAGGCCUGAGCUCCGACUCGGAGGACGCGGACCCGGAGCGACCGCGGCGAGCACGCCCGGCGCGCAACCUCUGGCGCAACAACAAGGGCGAGACGCACCUGCACGUGGCCUGCAUGCAGGGCAAGCUGAAGCAGGCGGCCCGGCUGCUGCAGUCGGGUCACCCGGUGAACGCGCGGGACCACUCCGGCUGGUUGCCUCUGCACGAGGCGGCCAACUUCGGCCACCUGGAGGUGGUGCGCCUACUGCUACAGCACGGCGCGCGCGUCGGCGACCCGGGCGGCCAGCACUGCGGCGGCACC